CUGCGGUGGGAAAUAACCCCGGGAAACUGGGGAUAAUGUCCCAUAGGCUACGGAUGCUGGAAUGCUCUGUAGCUCAAAGAUUUAUCGCCACAGGAUGGGUCUGCGGCCGAUUAGGUAGUUGUUGGGGUAACGGCCCAACAAGCCUUUGAUCGGUACGGGUUGUGGGAGCAAGAGCCCGGAGAUGGAUUCUGAGACACGAAUCCAGGCCCUACGGGGCGCAGCAGGCGCGAAAACUUUACAAUGCGGGAAACCGUGAUAAGGGAACUCCGAGUGUCCGUAAAUGCGGACUGUCCGUAUGUUUAAAAAGCAUGCGAAGAAAGGGCCGGGCAAGACCGGUGCCAGCCGCCGCGGUAAUACCGGCGGCUCGAGUGGUGGCCACUAUUACUGGGCUUAAAGCGUUCGUAGCUGGGUCGUUAAGUCUCUUGGGAAAUCUACCGGCUUAACCGAUAGGCGUCCAAGGGAUACUGGCGAUCUAGGGACCGGGAGAGGUGAGGGGUACUUCAGGGGUAGGAGUGAAAUCCUGUAAUCCUUGGGGGACCACCUGUGGCGAAGGCGCCUCACCAGAACGGCUCCGACAGUGAGGGACGAAAGCUGGGGGAGCAAACCGGAUUAGAUACCCGGGUAGUCCCAGCCGUAAACGAUGCGCGUUAGGUGUAUCGAUGACCACGAGUCAUCGAGGUGCCGAAGGGAAACCGUGAAACGUGCCGCCUGGGAAGUACGGUCGCAAGGCUGAAACUUAAAGGAAUUGGCGGGGGAGCACCACAACAGGUGGAGCCUGCGGUUUAAUCGGACUCAACGCCGGAAAUCUCACCGGAUAAGACAGCUGAAUGAUAGUCGGGCUGAAGACUCUACUUGACUAGCUGAGAGGAGGUGCAUGG
Molecule: ribosomal RNA, 878 nt
Filed under: uncultured archaeon
Lineage: Archaea
Description: bacterial SSU rRNA
Rfam family: Archaeal small subunit ribosomal RNA
Source: RNAcentral